GAUGAACGCUAGCGGCAGGCCUAACACAUGCAAGUCGAGGGGUAACAUGAGUGCUUGCACUUGAUGACGACCGGCGCACGGGUGCGUAACGCGUAUGCAACCUACCUUCUACAGGGGGAUAGCCCAGAGAAAUUUGGAAUAAUACCCCAUACGAUCUAUACUUGGCAUCAAGUAAAGAAGAAAACUUCGGUGGUAGAAGAUGGGCAUGCGUCCUAUUAGUUAGUUGGUAAGGUAACGGCUUACCAAGACAUCGAUAGGUAGGGGCCCUGAGAGGGGGAUCCCCCACACUGGUACUGAGACACGGACCAGACUCCUACGGGAGGCAGCAGUGAGGAAUAUUGGACAAUGGAGGCAACUCUGAUCCAGCCAUGCCGCGUGCAGGAAGACUGCCCUAUGGGUUGUAAACUGCUUUUAUACAGGAAGAAACUGCGCUACGUGUAGCGUACUGACGGUACUGUAAGAAUAAGGAUCGGCUAACUCCGUGCCAGCAGCCGCGGUAAUACGGAGGAUCCAAGCGUUAUCCGGAAUCAUUGGGUUUAAAGGGUCCGUAGGUGGUCCAUUAAGUCAGAGGUGAAAUCCUAUCGCUCAACGAUAGAACUGCCUUUGAAACUGAUAGACUUGAGUUAUUGUGAAGUAGUUAGAAUAUGUAGUGUAGCGGUGAAAUGCAUAGAUAUUACAUAGAAUACCGAUUGCGAAGGCAGAUUACUAACAAUAUACUGACACUGAGGGACGAAAGCGUGGGUAGCGAACAGGAUUAGAUACCCUGGUAGUCCACGCCGUAAACGAUGGUCACUAGCUGUUUGACUAACAUUGGUUAGUUGAGUGGCUAAGCGAAAGUGAUAAGUGACCCACCUGGGGAGUACGCUCGCAAGAGUGAAACUCAAAGGAAUUGACGG
Molecule: ribosomal RNA, 896 nt
Filed under: uncultured Bacteroidota bacterium
Lineage: Bacteria; Pseudomonadati; Bacteroidota
Description: bacterial SSU rRNA
Rfam family: Bacterial small subunit ribosomal RNA
Source: RNAcentral